AUUGAACGCUGGCGGCAUGCUUUACACAUGCAAGUCGAACGGUAACAGGCCGCAAGGUGCUGACGAGUGGCGAACGGGUGAGUAAUGCAUCGGAACGUGCCCAGUCGUGGGGGAUAACUACUCGAAAGAGUAGCUAAUACCGCAUACGAUCUAUGGAUGAAAGCGGGGGACCGUAAGGCCUCGCGCGAUUGGAGCGGCCGAUGUCAGAUUAGGUAGUUGGUGGGGUAAAGGCUCACCAAGCCAACGAUCUGUAGCUGGUCUGAGAGGACGACCAGCCACACUGGGACUGAGACACGGCCCAGACUCCUACGGGAGGCAGCAGUGGGGAAUUUUGGACAAUGGGCGCAAGCCUGAUCCAGCAAUGCCGCGUGCAGGAAGAAGGCCUUCGGGUUGUACUGCUUUUGUACGGAACGAAACGGCUCUGGUUAAUACCCGGGGCUAAUGACGGUACCGUAAGAAUAAGCACCGGCUAACUACGUG
Molecule: ribosomal RNA, 480 nt
Filed under: uncultured bacterium
Lineage: Bacteria
Description: partial 16S ribosomal RNA
Rfam family: Bacterial small subunit ribosomal RNA
Source: RNAcentral